RNAcentral lists this ribosomal RNA (559 nucleotides) under uncultured eukaryote. RNAcentral's name for it is "eukaryotic LSU rRNA". It matches the Rfam family "Eukaryotic large subunit ribosomal RNA", at positions 842 to 1390 of the family's 3401-position model. The record is from RNAcentral.
AAGGGCAAAGUCAGAGGAAACUCUGAUGGAGGCUCGGAAGGGGUUCUGACGUGCAAAUCGAUCUUCAAACUUGGGGUAUAGGGGCGAAAGACUAAUCGAACCAUCUAGUAGCUGGUUCCCUCCGAAGUUUCCCUCAGGAUAGCUGGAACUUAUGAAGAAGUAGUUUUAUCAGGUAAAGCGAAUGAUUAGAGGCUUUGGGGAAGAAACUUCCUCGACCUAUUCUCAAACUUUAAAUAGGUAAGAUUUGAAGGAUACUUAAGUGAUCUUUCAAUAUUUUGAAUAUAAAGUUCUUAGUGGGCCAUUUUUGGUAAGCAGAACUGGCGAUGUGGGAUGAACCGAACGUUAAGUUAAAGUGCCAAAUAAUACGCUCAUGAGAUACCAUAAAAGGUGUUGGUUCAUUUUGACAGCAGGACGGUGGCCAUGGAAGUCGGAACCCGCUAAGGAGUGUGUAACAACUCACCUGCCGAAUGAACUAGCCCUGAAAAUGGAUGGCGCUUAAGCGUAUAACUUAUACUUAACCCUUACUUGAAUCAUCAUAACGAGUAAGGAGUAGGAGGGC